This 496-nucleotide ribosomal RNA is filed under the name uncultured bacterium. RNAcentral's name for it is "partial 16S ribosomal RNA". It matches the Rfam family "Bacterial small subunit ribosomal RNA", at positions 28 to 506 of the family's 1533-position model. The record is from RNAcentral.
GACGAGCGCUGGCGGCGUGCCUAAUACAUGCAAGUUGAGCGAUGAAGAUUGGUGCUUGCACCAAUUUGAAGAGCAGCGAACGGGUGAGUAACGCGUGGGGAAUCUGCCUUUGAGCGGGGGACAACAUUUGGAAACGAAUGCUAAUACCGCAUAACAACUUUAAACAUAAGUUUUAAGUUUGAAAGAUGCAAUUGCAUCACUCAAAGAUGAUCCCGCGUUGUAUUAGCUAGUUGGUGAGGUAAAGGCUCACCAAGGCGAUGAUACAUAGCCGACCUGAGAGGGUGAUCGGCCACAUUGGGACUGAGACACGGCCCAAACUCCUACGGGAGGCAGCAGUAGGGAAUCUUCGGCAAAGGACGAAAGUCUGACCGAGCAACGCCGCGUGAGUGAAGAAGGUUUUCGGAUCGUAAAACUCUGUUGGUAGAGAAGAACGUUGGUGAGAGUGGAAAGCUCAUCAAGUGACGGUAACGACCCAGAAAGGGACGGCUAACUACGU